AAGCCAUCGAAGCAAAUUCGAACCAGAAGCAGCCAGAGCAUCACCGCAUCGAACAGGGAGAGGAGAGAAGCCCCCUCUGUCGCUCGUCGUCCACAACGCCGAUGGGACCUCGAUGGCUGGUCAGGGGGGUCUUCGCCUUGGUGCAAGGAAGGUCACUGUGGCCACGCGAUGGAGGAUACUCCCCGGGCAGCCCAAAUUUCUCGUCGGAAUUAAUGACCGUCGUAGGUCUGCAUCUUGCCAUGGGCAGGAGUCUGCGCAACGAAAACUCCGGUGAUACCUCUUCCCUACAAUUCGCUAUGGCCUAAGAAUUGUGUAGAGCGUUUCGGAUCGAGGAGUAGUGCACCAGAGCCAUGGAUCACCGCACGCCGGUGAGAGCUCCGCCGUCGUUCAGACCUAGUUUGGGUACUCUAGUAAUGAGUAGGAUCGGAGUGUAUUGAGAGAAUAUUUGAACUAUUGGGGAUUUAUACCCUCUCCAAUCCCUACAAAACACUAUAAUCCCAAAGUAUCCAAACUAGGCCUCAAUGGGGUGCCGCUCUGCUCGACCGAAACGAGGGAGACGACCCUCAGCCAUCAAUUGCCAAAUGAGGGACUGAGAUUAGAGAUAAGAAAAACAAUUCGCCCUAAUUGGUUAUGACCGUUGGAUCCAUAACGGACGAGGAAGAUUAGAUCUGGGCGUGUAACGCUUCGGACCGUCAAUCGUCAAUCCAAUGGCUGUGAUUGCGUACCGGUUCGGUGCUGCGGGGAUCUAAUCCGAGCCGUCGGUUUCAGAUCGGAUGGCUUAGUGCUCGUGUAUCCCGUUCGGCGCGCUAGUUUUGCAAAAGAGUCACUAGAUUUUAUUAGAAUCAACCCGCCGUCCUAUUGAGUGCAAAAGUAAUUACAGAGCAGUCCAUUUUCUUUUAGAUAGCACCCUGACUUUCAUGAAAAUAAUAGCCGUCGUCCAAUAGUGUUAUUUAGUUGAAAAAAUUAAAUCAAGAAAUUGUUUUAGGGUAUAAAGUGAUUCAAUAAACUUAGAAAAUCCAUAACUUUUGCGAUCUAACUGUGUUUUAGUCCAUUCCAGUUGCGUUGGCUUCUUAAUAAAAUUAUCUACACAUUAGCAACCCUACUUUAUCAUGUAACAUGUUUUUAAAUAAUGAAUUUUUUUACCCUAUGUUCAUCAGAUUAACUUCUCUAAUUAAAAUUAAAGUAAUGUUUUCAGUCCCUAGUUAUGAUUUGACUAAAAUAUGUUUUCUAAUCAAGUUAUAACUUGGAUUAAAAUGAAAUGGUUUCUCAGGAGUAUCUUUCUAACAUGAUUUAUAAUAAUCAACAUAGAACAUAGUUUUCCUAUUUAAUCACAUAAACCUUCGAAAAGUCAUAACUCUUUAACCGUAACUCCGAAUUUAGUGAUUCUCGAACCUACGAUCUAGUUACGACGCGUAGAUCAUUAUUAUGCAGUUUGUUCUUAUGUUUGGUGUGAUGUUAAUUUAGCCUAUACCAUGUUUGUUUGUAUUACUACGAUUAGCGAUAAGGUCACGAGAAUCUGAAGAUCAUCCUGGUAUCUGGGGAUCUCAAGUCUUUGGCAAGUUGUGCCCUCGAUCACUUUUCUUUACCAAAUAAUGUUUCUGUUAAUCACUGUGACAUGCUUAGGUUAAUCUGAUGGGACCUAAUAAGUUUCCCUAUACUUGUUUAUCUCACACCUUGUUUACCACUGAACUUUUGGGUAGUUAUGUUAUUGCUCUACCUGGUUUUCGGAUUAAUAUUACAUUAUGACCAUGUUCUAAUUAUACUAUUGUUUAAUUAUUGUUGAUGACAAGAUCAUUGUGUUAAUUGGAACAUGGAGCUUAACUUGAGAAACACGUGCUACCACAAGGGUGGAAUGGGACGCCCUUGGCUGACUAAUUAGGAAAGCUAGUGGAGGACUACCUUACCUGAAAGGGGCAAGGGCAGUAGCAGAGUUGCGUAUAGGGAGGUUCUCGGGUCGAUCAUGUUGCGAUGACUUUUCAGACGAGGGAUUCCUAUAUUGCCCUUCCUAGAAACUGUAGCGGGUUUUCUGAAGCUAGUGGAACUUUGUAAAGGCCUCGUAGUGGAUCCCUAGCCAUUCACCUCGGAAGUGUCUAAGCAUCUAGCUAACCCUGGCUAGAUGGGAUACAUGACUUGUGGGUAAAGGGCACAACCUCUGUAGAGUGUAAAACUGGUAUAUCAGCUGUGCUCGCGGUCAUGAGCAGCUUAGGAUUCUCGCAUGAUUGACUUAUGGAACUAAACUUAAUCUGUCAUAUGCAUUGCAUCGCAGGUGUUAUUAUCAAUUUUGAUCUCUUACUUAAUUGGGUUGGUAUCUACUUAUACCUAGUAACUGCUAAUAAAUUUUUGACCAACUUUAAAAGCAAUGCUUAGCUUUAACCAUCUCCUUUGGUAAGCCUUACACUUCACAUGAGCUCCCACCUUUGGUGAGUUCAUGCACAUUAUUCCCCACAACUUGUUGAACGAUGAACAUAUGUGAGCUCACUCUUGUUGUACUCACAUCCCCCAGGUCAAGAACAGGUACCACAGGAGGAGGCGCAUGAAGGAUGCUAUGAUGAGUUCGUGAGUGGUCUAGGCCAUUGUCUCCCAGUCAACUAUAGUUGCUGGAUCGUUGUCUGCAUAUGAUGUAAUUAUUUAGCUAUUUUGUGCAAAACUCAUAUUAUAUAGUAAAGAGGUGACAUUUGUUUCUGUACAAUGAGUCAUCAUAUGUGUGAGACUUGGUCCCAGCACACUUGGUGAUUAUUCUCACGACCGGGUUUUGGUUGCCCCUAGAACCCGGGU
Molecule: long non-coding RNA, 2775 nt
Filed under: Zea mays
Lineage: Eukaryota; Viridiplantae; Streptophyta; Magnoliopsida; Poales; Poaceae
Description: long non-coding RNA (ZMAY_LNC003845)
Source: RNAcentral